Molecule: long non-coding RNA, 1604 nt
Organism: Lolium rigidum
Lineage: Eukaryota; Viridiplantae; Streptophyta; Magnoliopsida; Poales; Poaceae
Exons: 10
Source: RefSeq, a predicted model, not a curated record
GCGGUCUGAUGCGGGAGGUGCUACGCCCGGCAUGGUCAUUGGCGGACGGAGCUCUAGAGGCAGCGGUAGCUCGACAUCGACGGCGGCCGGACAUGGAAGAAGGACGCGACCGAACUUAAAGAACGACCGGCGGAGAGAACAUGCUCCAUCCCAUGACCCGCGCCGCUGCUCCAACCACUGCUUCGGCAACUGCUGCUGGUUCAUGUACUUGACCGGGCCACUGCAGCUCCAACCCAUGAAAACAAGGUUGAGAUGAUCUACAUGACAAUCAGGCCUGCCAGUUCAAUUGCGGCGAAGUCAAAGAAUAAGGAGAAAGAAAAAUCAGAGAAGGAGGCAUCAUUGCAGGUGGAGCAAGGAGGAACAAUCAGCAGAUCUAGCAUUUAUUUUGCUCAAGCUACAGGUUAUUGCUAUAAUAAACAGUGUGCCUUCAUUCAACAGGCUAUCAUGGAGCUCUUAUUGGGCAUGGUACAGUAGCCUAUUUAGCAUUUAGUUAUCUGGGUCGAUGCAUUUGAAAAUUGGUAUCCAAAACUGGCUUCAUGUAUUUGCAGUUGCAGCUAGAUGAUAACAAAUUGGAUCCUGCUCAACAACACCCCAUUGUAUAGAGGUUUUUUCACGGCAAGAGCAUUUGUGUAUUUUGAAAUGCUUGGUCAUGACCUGUAUGUGCUAGAGAAAGAAUGGCUUCACAGGUUUACGACAAAACUUUGACAGAUAUUAGUGUAUUGGUUGUCCAUGAAGAUGUUGGCAUUGUUCACAGAAGCUAAAACCAAAAUUAUCCCGUGAUUCCAAAUUGGAUAGGCUGGAAGGUUGGAAAGUGUGAUUGGAUGGUAUCACUCACACCUUGGUUAUGGAUGAUGGUUGGCAUACAUGCUGGAUGACAGUCGGAGGGAGGCAAACUGCAUACUGGAAAACAACCGGAGCAAGGCCACGAGGACUAGGCCAACUGCCAUGGACCACAAUCAGGACACCACCGCCGCCAAGCAGCCACUGACACACGCUGAAGCAUCUCUGCAGUACACUGCAAUUGCCUGCGAAGCAUGAGAUAUUUGAGCUAACAAAUGGUUAAUUGGUUUCAGCGCAUAGGGUGGCCAUUGGUGAGGGCAUACAGGAACAGGAGGAACACCUUCCAUGCAGCAGUAGCAGCCAAGAAGGCUGAGAAGCUAUUUCUGAAGGUUUUGCCAAGUUGAUGAGAUUUGGAGACAUGAGCUCUAUAAGAACUCUGUAGGAACUCAAAGUCCAUGGUUAAGCUGUACUUGCUUCCAGAAAUCUUCAAUCAAUUCAAAAAUCACAUUCGAAGCAAAGCACCAAGGUCAAUUGAUGACUCCCAUCAGAUAAAGUCAAGGUAAACAUCCUACUUUAGGUGAUAUAUAUAUUCUCUUAUAGUUGGCAGAAAUUUUUGAUAUAAAGGAGAUUAACUUGACAGUUUCCCUUCAAUUAACUAAUUCAAAUAUGUGAUGUGAUAUAUAUUCUCUCACUGCCAUCAUUCUCAGAAUAUAUAUGUAGCUCCUGCUAAUCAGGUUAAUGUAUAUAUCAAGGAUCUGUGAAGAUAUAUGUAACUCUUGCUAAUCAGAAUAUUGUAUAUAACAAGAAGAUAACCUUUCAUGUGA